GCUAAUAGUUCAAGCAAGAAGCACAUUUACUAAAACUGGUUUUCUUUAUUAUAGAAAAACACAUUUGUUGUUUCUCGCCUCUUGUAAUUCAUGACCCAUAAGACAAAAGUAAAAUGUUCUCUGACUGCAAAUGGAUGUAAAAACUGAUUAUACAGCUACACAUUUCUGUCAUCCUCCCAUCUCUACCCCAAAGAAAGAGGUAAGAGACUAAUACAAUGUGAAGCCAGAGGUGAAAGUUAUUUGAAAGCAAACUUUCAAGUUUGAGAGAGACUUCACAUUCAAAUCCUAUCUUUGAUGUUUGCUGUUUGUGAGAUCCCAGGAGCAUAUUUUACCUCUCUGGAUCUUCAUUUUCUGGUUGAUAAAUGGAGAAAAUAGCUACAAAGUGGUUUUGAUGAUAUAAUGUGUUAAACUGUAUUAAGAGCUUAGCUCAGUGCCUGCAACAUUGUGGGUAUUCAGAAAAACAUUAGUACUGCACUCCUUUCCUUGCCUUCUAUUCCUUAAAUUAUUCUUGGUGAGCAUUAACCAUGGUUUCAUUCUAGGUUCUCUUAUUUGACCUACUUCAGCUUUCUACUGUCCCCUCACUCUCAGGAGCUGUUUGGAUCAGAAGAUGACAUCCUUUCACCCAUCCCUUUCAGGUUUUGACAUCCUAAAAUGUACCUUAUGGAACCCAUACCUGUUAUGUUUUCACCUGUACAAGGCAACAGAGAAAACAUGGUAGUUUUUACUUGAGUAGAUGUGACUUAGCAAUAUGUUGUUGCUGACCUCCAUCCCACAGCACAAAACAUAUGUUUAUAUGUCUGACAGACAAAGUAUCCAGAACAAGGAUUUAGUACCUUCAUAAUCCUCUGUAUAUGUGGUUCUAGAACUUUUGGUAAAGAAACUCUUUAUACUCUUAUUAAUUAUUGAGAACCUCAAAAAAAGUUUAUAUGUUAUAUGUAUCAAUAUUUACCACAUUAGACAUUAAAGCUGACUUAAAAAGUUAAAAUACUUAAGUCAUUUGAAGUAAUAAUAAAUGCAGUUACAUACCAACUUAAUAACAUUUUGCGAAAAUAGCUAUUUUUCAAAACCUAAAGUGAGAAAAGUGGCAGUUUUCCAUUUUUGCAAAUCUCUUUGCUGUCUAGCUGAUAGAAGACAGCUGGAUUCUCCUAUUUGCUUUUGCAUUCAAUUGUUGUUUUGAUUGAAGUAUAUGAAAAAAAAUCUGGUGUCAUACACAUAUAUAAUUGGGAAAUGGAAGAGUAUUUACACAGGCUUUUUUAGAUAUUCUUCCUUUAUACUACAUCAAAACUUGAUAAGUUGCAAUGUUGUGAAUUGGCCCAGGGCUUGGCCCUCUGAAGAUUUGCUGAAAAUCACUGACAUGAAGUAGAUUAAUAGGAUAAAAGGCAUAUACAUUUAUUUAAUGUGUAUACACAGCGGCCUUUAGAAUGAAGACCCAAAGAUACAGAAGAAAUUGUCUGUUUUUAUGCUUAAGUUUAACAAAGAAUGGGCAGCCGUGUAGAGAUAGGAUAGGACAAAAAGGGCAUAAUCUAAUGCUAGCUGACUGAGUGAGGAAGCCCAGCAAGGCCUGUCAGUGUCUCCUCAGUAUGAGUGAAUUUUGUGUACUCUGAUAAUACAUUAAAAUCUGUUUAUGUACUCUGAUAACACAUUCAAAUCUGUUGUUCUGUUUUAUACUUUAAAUGCAUCUUUUAUAACCGUUUAUGAAUUUGUAAUAUUGUGUAUUGAUUAUCUAAAAAAUACAGGUCCAAU
Molecule: long non-coding RNA, 1743 nt
Filed under: Homo sapiens (human)
Lineage: Eukaryota; Metazoa; Chordata; Mammalia; Primates; Hominidae
Description: non-protein coding HAS2-AS1:7
Source: RNAcentral